UACGCAGGGGGCUAGCGUUGUUCGGAAUUACUGGGCGUAAAGCGCGCGCAGGCGGCUAUCCAAGUCAGUGGUGAAAGCCCGGAGCUCAACUCCGGAACUGCCAUUGAAACUGUUUAGCUGGAGUAUGGGAGAGGUGAGUGGAAUUCCCAGUGUAGAGGUGAAAUUCGUAGAUAUUAAGAGGAACACCGGUGGCGAAGGCGGCUAUCUGGCACACAACUGACGCUGAGGCGCGAAAGCGUGGGGAUCAAACAGG
Molecule: ribosomal RNA, 253 nt
Filed under: uncultured bacterium
Lineage: Bacteria
Description: partial 16S ribosomal RNA
Rfam family: Bacterial small subunit ribosomal RNA
Source: RNAcentral